RNAcentral lists this long non-coding RNA (1120 nucleotides) under Heterocephalus glaber (naked mole-rat). RNAcentral's name for it is "lncRNA (ENSHGLG00000040300.1)". Lineage: Eukaryota; Metazoa; Chordata; Mammalia; Rodentia; Bathyergidae. The record is from RNAcentral.
GAAAUAUAUUGUGAACAAUUAAGAGUCAUGAGAACUGCAUAGCAAGCCAGGUCAAGAGUAUUCCCUGCAUUUUCCUAUGUAUGUUCAUGAAGCUAGCCCUAGCAACCAUCUUUAGAAAGGUCUCAUUGAUACAGGGGAGAAAGCCCUGACACUCCCUGGAAGUUACCUUCUGAUUUUUCUUCUUUGGUGAACCAAACACCGUUAUGUUUCCCAUAGACACUCUUGAAGAUACUUGCUUUGCUUUAAUAAUCUUUGGAUAGAGACUUAUUCCUGAUGACUUUACCAUGAUAACAACCUGGACAAUUAAGCCCCUGUAUUACUCCUCCAUUAGGUCUGUGAAAAGCUCAUCUCCUACCCAUGAUUGAAUAGAAAUCGUGCUCAUGCGUGGUAGUUAACUGUUCUGUCAACUUGACUAAGGAAUGUCUAAGCAUGGCUUAUCAUAGUUCUGGGUGUGCCUGAAUGGAUUUACUGAAGACAGAAGACCCACCAUGGGUGUGAGUGGCAUCAUCCAAUAGGCUUGUAGCCUGAAUGGAAUAAGCAGCAAAAGAAGGAAGGCUCACUUGCUUUAGGAGGAGCUGCAGUCCUUGCCAUUAUCUUGGAUUUCUGUCUCCUGGCUUCCAGCACAGACUCUUUGGCUUCUUGACACUGAUUUGUACAAGACCCUACAGUGAGCUCCAGACCUUGGACUUCUGACUGGAUCUGUCCAUCCAAUCUCCAGUGGGCAGAUGGCCCUUCUUCACUCUUCUACACCUGACUUUCCAGGUGGCCAUUGCUUUGUUUCCAUUGUUUUUGUUUUCUCAUAUUUAUUCCUUUCCCUUCUUUCCUUUCCCCUACCCCUCCCACUUCCCCUUCCCCUUCCUCUUCGGACCUCUUUUCCCUAUUUCACAUUAGCAACCACUGUGAAAAUCAGUAUAUAGAUACCUCAAAGAGGUCCCAUCUGACCCAGCUAUUCCCCUGCUGGGCAUCUUCCCAAAAGAAUUAAAAGAAUCAUACCACAGCAAUAUACGUGAACCCAUGUUUAUAGCGGCACUGUUUGGAAUAGCUAAAGCUUGGAAACAGCCCAAUUGUCCAUCAACUGGAGACUGGAUAAAGAAAAUGUGGUUUUUUAAUAUACAUUUUU